Long non-coding RNA from Branchiostoma belcheri (Belcher's lancelet), 455 nucleotides. RefSeq lists it as uncharacterized. NCBI's taxonomy places the organism in Eukaryota, Metazoa, Chordata, Leptocardii, Amphioxiformes, Branchiostomatidae. The record is from RefSeq and is a predicted model, not a curated record. The transcript is spliced from 3 exons.
GAAAGUUCCGAUCAACACCAGGACCACAACGUGUCUGAAAACCCUCCAGAGAAGUUGGAAAGUGGAGAAGUUGCUGGGGCGUCGGCAGACUGUGCUGCACAACAACAGAGCAGCGAGUGAACUUCAGCCAGAAAGGGCAGUCAAAAAUCCAUUUCUUGAAACUGCUGAUGCUGGAAGAAGGAAAUCCACAGCCACACUGGAUCUACUGGAUCUGACAACACCCAACACAACUGUCCAAAGGCUGCCCAGCUGUUGUUAGAAGCAAAGACUUGGAUCAACAAAGCUUAGCUAUGUAGAUGAAGUAAUUCUAGGUAUUGCAAUAAUAUACACACUAGAGGAUGUACUAAGUAAAAGCAUUAUGCUAUGGCCUUAGUCCUAUGACACUUAUGAGCAGCUGUGUAUUCAGAUUUUAAGGUGAGUCUAACAGGAACUAGUAUGUAAAUUUCAUAAGUGAA